GCCGGGUGUGGUGGCUCACACCUGUAAUCCCAGCACUUUGGGAGGCUGAGGUGGGUGGAUCACCUGAGGUCAGGAGUUCAAGACCAGCCUGACCAAAAUGGAGAAACCCCAUCUCUA
Molecule: unclassified non-coding RNA, 117 nt
Organism: Callithrix jacchus (white-tufted-ear marmoset)
Lineage: Eukaryota; Metazoa; Chordata; Mammalia; Primates; Cebidae
Rfam family: Metazoan signal recognition particle RNA
About the family: The signal recognition particle (SRP) is a universally conserved ribonucleoprotein. It is involved in the co-translational targeting of proteins to membranes.
Source: Ensembl